RNAcentral lists this ribosomal RNA (429 nucleotides) under uncultured Enterobacteriaceae bacterium. RNAcentral's name for it is "bacterial SSU rRNA". It matches the Rfam family "Bacterial small subunit ribosomal RNA", at positions 355 to 776 of the family's 1533-position model. The record is from RNAcentral. Lineage: Bacteria; Pseudomonadati; Pseudomonadota; Gammaproteobacteria; Enterobacterales; Enterobacteriaceae.
UGGGGAAUAUUGCACAAUGGGCGCAAGCCUGAUGCAGCCAUGCCGCGUGUAUGAAGAAGGCCUUCGGGUUGUAAAGUACUUUCAGCGGGGAGGAAGGUGUUGUGGUUAAUAACCGCAGCAAUUGACGUUACCCGCAGAAGAAGCACCGGCUAACUCCGUGCCAGCAGCCGCGGUAAUACGGAGGGUGCAAGCGUUAAUCGGAAUUACUGGGCGUAAAGCGCACGCAGGCGGUCUGUUAAGUCAGAUGUGAAAUCCCCGGGCUCAACCUGGGAACUGCAUCUGAUACUGGCAGGCUUGAGUCUCGUAGAGGGGGGUAGAAUUCCAGGUGUAGCGGUGAAAUGCGUAGAGAUCUGGAGGAAUACCGGUGGCGAAGGCGGCCCCCUGGACGAAGACUGACGCUCAGGUGCGAAAGCGUGGGGAGCAAACAGG